UAACAGGGCUAGGAGUCCACUGAGAUGC
This 28-nucleotide non-coding RNA is filed under the name Homo sapiens (human). Lineage: Eukaryota; Metazoa; Chordata; Mammalia; Primates; Hominidae. The record is from RNAcentral.